UUGAAUGUAAGGUUUUUAUUUAAUUAUUAUUAGUUAUGGUCUUUAAAAUUAAAAAUUUUGGCGGUAUUUUAGUCUUUUUAGAGGAACCUGUUCUUUAAAUGAUAGUCCACGAUUUGAUUGACUUUUAUUAUUAGUUUGUAUAUCGUCGUAAUUAAAUAUUUUUUUAGAAUUAUAAUAUUUAGAAUUUUUAAUAAAAAAAUUAAUCAGAUCAAGGUGCAGUUUAUAUAAAAGUAGAAAUGGGUUACAUUAAAAUUAUUUUUGGAUUUUAAAUAUUAAUAUUUAAUUGAAAGUGGAUUUAAAUGUAAUAUUAAUUAAUUAAUUAUUAUGAUUUUGGCUCUAAGAUAUGU
RNAcentral lists this ribosomal RNA (347 nucleotides) under Diabrotica dissimilis. Its description in RNAcentral is "partial 12S ribosomal RNA". Lineage: Eukaryota; Metazoa; Arthropoda; Insecta; Coleoptera; Chrysomelidae. The record is from RNAcentral.